Long non-coding RNA from Mirounga angustirostris (Northern elephant seal), 642 nucleotides. RefSeq lists it as uncharacterized. The record is from RefSeq and is a predicted model, not a curated record. The transcript is spliced from 3 exons. NCBI's taxonomy places the organism in Eukaryota, Metazoa, Chordata, Mammalia, Carnivora, Phocidae.
GGAGCUGGGGACCUUAGCCAGUACCUGAGGCCUGGGUGACAAGGUUCAGCUUCCUCGGGAGGGCCAGGCAUUUAGCCCCAGUGAAGAAUUCGCAAGCACCUCAGGACACUGAAACAAACCCUUCCCUUAGGACUUGGACUCAGGCCACAGCUGUUGAGAGAUCUCACAGAGGGAGCCAUAGGGAUGAGCCAGCUAACUCUAGUCCCUACUGCUGGUGAGUCAGAACCAGCAGAGAAGCUGGGAGGCACUGGGCAGUAGAGGGGGGCAGACCAGGCCUGGGGGCAGCAGUUUGACCCCUGUGGCAGGUAAGUUCACAAGCAGCUUAUUCUGAGAUGGAGGUGAUGCUUUUCCUGGGCUUUAUGAAGCAGGGAAGGAUGUUGGAAAGAGCACUGUGAAGGGAGCUCGGAAUCCAGGACUUCAUUCUGGCUACUCCAUUAAUUCCCAUUCUGGCUCUAGGCAAGUCACUUGGCUCUCUGCGCCUGUUUCUCCUGAAGUUGAAGAGGCUGGACUGCUUGACUGAGCUCUCUUGGAGUUCUGGUGUUCUGAGGCACUAUCCGGCCCAUGGGAUCUCAGCAAUCGAAGCAACACAGGAAGCCUGGGCCCCUGAAACGGGGCCACCGAGGAGAUCGGAGAACAACCAGG